CGUAAUGAUGGCCAGGCUGUCUCCACCCGAGACUCAGUGAAAUUGAACUCGCUGUGAAGAUGCAGUGUACCCGCGGCAAGACGGAAAGACCCCGUGAACCUUUACUAUAGCUUGACACUGAACAUUGAGCCUUGAUGUGUAGGAUAGGUGGGAGGCUUUGAAGUGUGGACGCCAGUCUGCAUGGAGCCGACCUUGAAAUACCACCCUUUAAUGUUUGAUGUUCUAACGUGGACCCGUAAUCCGGGUUGCGGACAGUGUCUGGUGGGUAGUUUGACUGGGGCGGUCUCCUCCUAAAGAGUAACGGAGGAGCACGAAGGUUGGCUAAUCCUGGUCGGACAUCAGGAGGUUAGUGCAAUGGCAUAAGCCAGCUUGACUGCGAGCGUGACGGCGCGAGCAGGUGCGAAAGCAGGUCAUAGUGAUCCGGUGGUUCUGAAUGGAAGGGCCAUCGCUCAACGGAUAAAAGGUACUCCGGGGAUAACAGGCUGAUACCGCCCAAGAGUUCAUAUCGACGGCGGUGUUUGGCACCUCGAUGUCGGCUCAUCACAUCCUGGGGCUGAAGUAGGUCCCAAGGGUAUGGCUGUUCGCCAUUUAAAGUGGUACGCGAGCUGGGUUUAGAACGUCGUGAGACAGUUCGGUCCCUAUCUGCCGUGGGCGCUGGAGAACUGAGGGGGGCUGCUCCUAGUACGAGAGGACCGGAGUGGACGCAUCACUGGUGUUCGGGUUGUCAUGCCAAUGGCACUGCCCGGUAGCUAAAUGCGGAAGAGAUAAGUGCUGAAAGCAUCUAAGCACGAAACUUGCCCCGA
RNAcentral lists this ribosomal RNA (803 nucleotides) under Salmonella enterica. RNAcentral's name for it is "partial 23S ribosomal RNA". It matches the Rfam family "Bacterial large subunit ribosomal RNA", at positions 2000 to 2802 of the family's 2925-position model. RNAcentral also lists the same sequence under 2 other names. Lineage: Bacteria; Pseudomonadati; Pseudomonadota; Gammaproteobacteria; Enterobacterales; Enterobacteriaceae. The record is from RNAcentral.